Small nuclear RNA from Antechinus flavipes (yellow-footed antechinus), 102 nucleotides. The record is from RefSeq and is a predicted model, not a curated record. Lineage: Eukaryota; Metazoa; Chordata; Mammalia; Dasyuromorphia; Dasyuridae.
UUGCUUCAGCAGCACAUAUACCAAAAUUGUAUGAAACAAAGAUGAUUAGCAUGGCCCCUGUGUAAGGAAGAGAUGCAAAUUUGUGAAGCAUUCUAUAUUUUU